ACAUGUCACAUGCCAACUUUACUUCAUUUUUCUCCUCAGGGAAUAGAUACAUCUGGAAUCAUAAUCACAGAUAAAAACCUUGACAAAAUUGCACAUGAGCCCAGCCCUCCUCUCCAACACCUACCUUUUCAUAACAUUUAAUACAAUAUUAAUAUCAGUUACUAAAAAGGCUCCCAACCUUUACAUUCCUGACAUAACAUGUUCAAACCCAUAUUUCACACUUCUUGUUCUGUUUUAAGUUCAGUGGAUUUAACAGGACUCUGGAGAGAAGAUCAUGUGGUUGAAGAUUUCCCUCCCUCUUUGACACCCGUAGAGGCAGUUUUGGAAUUGUUUAAAUAGCUGUGGCUAUAUAAACUGAAAUAUGGACAACAUUGGACAUCUCACGCCUCGCUCACAUCUAUAGAUACAUACUUGUAUUUUUAGCUGAAAUCUAUUGCUUGUACCAGUGACAAACAAUUUCAGCACAACAUCUGGGCAAAAGAUUCGGAAUAUUUUCCUUUUAAACUGUAUUAUUCAUCUUCCCUGCAUAUUCCUGGUUUACCAGACAAAUACAAUUAGCUAAUAUUAUAGAAUAAUAUUAUUUGGUCUUUUUUAUCUAUGAUUGACAGUUUUUCAAAUCAAAAUAAAACACAUUCUUAGUCGAUCAUCUUCUUGGAAGUGCGCUGGUUUAAGCUCCGUUUGCUCCCAAGACAGUGAGAGAUCUUACUCGAUGAGGGGUAAACGGUGAAAUUAUAGAUCCCAUAGAUUCCAUGCUCUCCCCCAAAUGCUUGGCGUAGUUAAUAUUUAAUAGCUAAUUCCUGGACAGACAUUUUCACUGCGUGCUUUUAUAGAACAUUCAUCAGCUGCUAUUGCAAAGAACUGGAAUUUGAGAACUUUGCAAAUUUUCAUUUAUUAUUGUUUCUGUAAUUAAUAGCACACUGGACGUACCCCAGGCAGCUCACUGUAUGGCUUUGUUCAUGACAGAAUGGUGAUAGCAACCUCUUUUUGUUACAUAUUUAACAGCUUUGAAAGACUUUUUUUUUUAAACAGCAAAUGUACCAGACAGCUUUAAAGCAAAGGACAUUAAAUAGGUUGCCAAUUAUUCAUUCAGCAGCUUCUAUGUGCGUCAAAAAAAUGCAUACCACCAAAUUUCCCUGAGACAAACCACUUAAAUUUCCUGUGACUCAUACACCAUUUUUUCACUAACUGGAUAAGGAUAGCAAUCAUUUAGAAAAAGAAACAGAUAUCAAAUGUUUCUUGCCCUGGCAUACUGAAAAAAAAAAUCUUCAAACUAUGUUCAUUUACAGUUAGGGGAUAGCAUUUGUGACAAGAAGUGUCCUAUUUUUAAACUGAACAGUGUUCCUUAACACAUUCUUUCAUUAUUCUCUUUCACUUUAAAAUGACCCACAGUGUCUAACUCAGCAUAUAAUAAGUGCAAAAAGUGAUAUAUGAAUGGAGUACUAAUUCCCCUGAAUCGUUGCAAGUCAGUCCACAAAGCACCCGAACCCGAGGCGUGUGAGGCUGUCUCCGGCAGCUCAGGGAGAUGAAGAGCUGAGCUGAGCUCCACUUGCUGACAAGGAGCAAACUGUCUC
RNAcentral lists this long non-coding RNA (1571 nucleotides) under Strigops habroptila (Kakapo). RNAcentral's name for it is "lncRNA (ENSSHBG00005013459.1)". Lineage: Eukaryota; Metazoa; Chordata; Aves; Psittaciformes; Psittacidae. The record is from RNAcentral.